AUGGUCCAGAUACUAUCACUCAUCCACAACAAAAAUGGGAAUCUGAGUAGCAUGCCCUACAUACCAGCUGAUGUCACAAACCUAAAGGCAAAGUACCGUAGAGAGAGCAAGUUGGCUGACAUAGAGGCCACAGUGGCCUACUUCGAUGAGAAAGCGAAGGAAGAUCCAGAUUUCUUCUACAGGAUAAGGUUGGACGAUGAGGACCGUGUCAGGAACAUGUAUUGGGUGUAUGAUGCUGCAAGAAGAGCCUACAAACAUUUCCGAGAUUGCAUUUCAUUCGACGCGACGUAUCUCACUAAUGUGUACAAGAUGCCAUGCACUCCAUUCAUAGGAAUAAAUAACCACAAUCAGUCGUUGUAG
Molecule: ribosomal RNA, 360 nt
Filed under: Triticum aestivum (bread wheat)
Lineage: Eukaryota; Viridiplantae; Streptophyta; Magnoliopsida; Poales; Poaceae
Description: partial small subunit ribosomal RNA
Source: RNAcentral